UGCGUGUUUCCUGGGCGCUGUAAAGUGAGCAAAAUCCUGUAUGAUGUCUAUUUGAGGUUUAUUACACAGGUUUGAACAAAACAUGAUGGGGCUUCGUCGUGGCCCUGUGGAGUGGGAUGAGGAGGUUUACGGAGGGCCAGAGCUGGCAGAGACACCAAAUUUGAGUGUGUGAGAGCGCGCGCGUAUGUGCGCGUGCGCGGCCAGCGCUGGAGAGUUUGCCAUGGCGCGCGCUGCUCGGCUGCUGCUCCGCGCGGCGCCGCGAUCAGACUGAAGCACCGGGAGCGCGAGGAGGAAGGGAGAAGGGACAGAGCGCGCGCGCCUGAGACACACGGAGAGAUAGAGGGAGUGCGCGAGGGAAGGAAAGAGAAGAGUGAAGGAGGGAAAGGAAAUAAAGGAGAGAGGGAGGCCGAUGUGUUCGUCCUGCUGCUGCCGGAGGGGCACGCGCACACACCCCGGAGCUGCUGGAGAUGCGUCGGCGCGCCGCGGAGAGGCGAGGAGCCUCGUGCACACAGGUACACGCACUAACACACACGCACAUAUUGCACACACACUAACUCACACAAACUCACCCUGCGCGCAUACACACUAGUGCUAAACAGUGCGUAAAAUAAGCUUUAAAGACUUUUAUUACAGUGUUAUUAGUUGUUGCAGUACAUUGAUUUCAUAUUCUGCUGCAGUUUUAGCUUAUUUGCCUCGUUUUGCA
Molecule: long non-coding RNA, 703 nt
Filed under: Astyanax mexicanus (Mexican tetra)
Lineage: Eukaryota; Metazoa; Chordata; Actinopteri; Characiformes; Acestrorhamphidae
Description: lncRNA (ENSAMXG00005021428.1)
Source: RNAcentral